Molecule: transfer RNA, 72 nt
Filed under: Camelus bactrianus (Bactrian camel)
Lineage: Eukaryota; Metazoa; Chordata; Mammalia; Artiodactyla; Camelidae
Also listed under: 2 other names
Rfam family: tRNA
About the family: Transfer RNA (tRNA) molecules are approximately 80 nucleotides in length.
Source: Rfam by way of RNAcentral
GUGGGUAUAGGUCAGUGGCAGAGCACAUGGUUAGCAUGCAUGAGGUCCUGGGUUCAAUUCCUAGUACCUCCA